Molecule: ribosomal RNA, 1170 nt
Filed under: Limassolla sp. XZ-2020
Lineage: Eukaryota; Metazoa; Arthropoda; Insecta; Hemiptera; Cicadellidae
Description: 16S ribosomal RNA
Source: RNAcentral
UUUUAUUAUGUUAUAAAUAUUAAUUAUUUUUUUUAUUAAGUAUAAAACAAAAAUUUAUAUUGCAUAUUUUCUGUAAGAGAUAUUUUUACAAAUUUAUAAUAAUUUAUUAGUACCUUUUGUAUCAGGGUGAUUUUAUUUAUUUCAAAUUAUUUUAUUUUCCCGAAAUUAAGAGUUCAAAGCUAAUAUUUAAUUUUUAUUGUUUAAUAAAUUUAUUUAAAAUUAGUUUAGUAGUUAUACUCUAUUCGUUCUUAAAAAUAUCUGGUUUUCAAAGAAUAAAUAAAAUUUUUAAGUUUUUAUUUUUACUUAUAUUUAAUAAGGGAUCAUCUUUAUUUUAUUUUAUAAUUUAAUUUUAUUAAAUUUUUAUUAAUUUUUAAAUUUUUUAUUAAGUUAUUAAUAUAAUCUAAUUUAUUUAUAAAAAUUUUUUUAAAUUUAAGUUUUUAUUUGGAUUCUUUACUAAAUUUUUUUGUAAAUUUAAUACUGAUUUUAUUAGUAAUCUUUAUAUAUAUAAUUAUAUGAAUUCGACAAAUCUAAUUUUCAAUUGUUUAUCAAAAACAUUUUUUUUAGUUAUUAUUAAAGAUAAAUUCUGCCCAAUGAUUAUUUAAAUGGCUGCAGUAUAUUGACUGUACAAAGGUAGCAUAGUAAUUAGUCUUUUAAUUGAGGACUAGAAUGAAUGAUUAAAUGAAAAAUUUAUUUUAUUAUUUAUAAUUUAUGAAUUUUAUUUUUUGGUAAAAAAGCUUAAUUAUUUUUUUGGGACGAAAAGACCCUAUAGAACUUUAUUAAUUUUAAAUUUGAAUUUAGUAUUAUUAUUUUAAUUAUUUUUAAUUUUAAUUUAGUUGGGGAGACUAAUAAAUAAAUCUUUAUUUAAUUAACUCAUAAAUUUAUGUGGUAUUUGGAAUUUUAAUUAAUUUAAAAGAAUAAGUUACCUUAGGGAUAACAGCGUAAUUUUAAUGGAGAGUUCAUAUCUAUAUUAGAGUUUGCGACCUCGAUGUUGAAUUAAAAAUAAUAAUAGGGGUAGAAUUUUUUUUAUUGGGUCUGUUCGACCUUUAAAUUUUUACAUGAUUUGAGUUCAAACCGGUGUAAGCCAGGUUGGUUUCUAUCUUAAAAUUUCUAUUCUAUUUUAGUACGAAAGGACCAUAUAGUUUAUUAUUAAUAUUUAUAUAAAAUAUAUUU